This is a long non-coding RNA of Prionailurus viverrinus (fishing cat), 1232 nucleotides long. RefSeq lists it as uncharacterized. The record is from RefSeq and is a predicted model, not a curated record. The transcript has 4 exons. NCBI's taxonomy places the organism in Eukaryota, Metazoa, Chordata, Mammalia, Carnivora, Felidae.
GUGUGAUUUAUGCCUUACAGACCCUAUAAAUGGGGGGUUGGGGGCAAAGUCUGUGCCUCUCAUCAACCCCCUCCUUUCACCCCACUAAGUAAAUACCUUGGGUGCCAUGCAGAAUAUUGUGACAUCACUGUAAGGGCUGAAUGCUUUCCACAAAUCCCUGCACGCCACCACAAAUGGCUCCUCUGCCACCUAACCAAUGGCAGCACUCCACUUCGUUCCCCCAAGUGCUACAAUCUAUUGGCAGCACUGAGACCCUGGCUAGCUGCCACAGAGACUUAGUCCGGGCAGACCCUCUCUCCCAGUGAGCUUUCCUAGAUCCCCACCAUGGCUCAGGCACAGCGACCAAGCUUUUCCGGGGCAGAGUGGGUGUGGUGAGAUGACAGCCCCGGUGGGGGGUGCCUUGCUCUUUAUUUAUGGCUCUGUGACACUUUUAAAGUGCUGAAUGUUCCUAAAGGCUGGUAAAUUCUUUCCCCAAUCCUACAGAGACAGGGACGUGGGGGCAGGAAGACAGGUGGGGGCAGGAAUUGGAAUCUACAUGGACCAUAAUUGCCUCAAGUUUGUGAACUGUUAGUUUAAAAAUACUCUUGGAGACUUUAAUGGCUGAAUGAAAAUUCACACUCAUUAAACACCAUGGUCGAAGGGGGGGAAAUUCAGCCUGUGUUAUAUGAAUAACUUCACAGCUUGAAGUUCAGAAGAGUCACGUGGCUGGGUGAAUGAAGAGGGUGAAGCUCAGGAAACUGGGCUGGGGUGUGGUCACCAGGGCAGGGGACCCUCCUCAGAGAAGAGUCAGCAUCAGAAAGCAUCAAGCUUCAGACACUAUGGCUUCAGACUGGCUCUGCUGGUCUUUGACAUUCCCUUGUCACUACAACCUCAGGUCCUUGCCAUCUGGGGAUGGCACUUUCUAGUCAGUUCGAGAAAAUGGCAGUACACACAGCAGAAGGGUGUGGGAAGAGACUAGUCUGCUGAAUAAAAACACGGGAAGAAGCUGAGGUUCAGAGAGGGUGAAUACUUUGUCCAAGGUCAAAUGGCUGCUAAGAGGCAAGCUGCAGGUCGGAACCCUGGGAAGCUUGACUCAGAAGCUCCUACCCACUCUAUCCAUCAUUCUGCUUAAUGGGCAGUGAACCUAGAAUUAUCCAAACUAAAGUCCCCUGAACUAACCAAAGUAUGUCAAGCAGAUCAAUACUUGGAUUUUUAAAGCCUGACUGCUUGAUUCCUUUAAGGCACUAACUUGC